This 1343-nucleotide ribosomal RNA is filed under the name uncultured bacterium. RNAcentral describes it as "16S ribosomal RNA". It matches the Rfam family "Bacterial small subunit ribosomal RNA", at positions 28 to 1378 of the family's 1533-position model. The record is from RNAcentral.
GACGAACGCUGGCGGCGUGCUUAACACAUGCAAGUCGAACGGAAAGGCCCUGCUUUUGUGGGGUGCUCGAGUGGCGAACGGGUGAGUAACACGUGAGUAACCUGCCCUUGACUUUGGGAUAACUUCAGGAAACUGGGGCUAAUACCGGAUAGGAGCUCCUGCUGCAUGGUGGGGGUUGGAAAGUUUCGGCGGUUGGGGAUGGACUCGCGGCUUAUCAGCUUGUUGGUGGGGUAGUGGCUUACCAAGGCUUUGACGGGUAGCCGGCCUGAGAGGGUGACCGGCCACAUUGGGACUGAGAUACGGCCCAGACUCCUACGGGAGGCAGCAGUGGGGAAUAUUGCACGAUGGGCGGAAGCCUGAUGCAGCAACGCCGCGUGCGGGAUGACGGCCUUCGGGUUGUAAACCGCUUUCGCCUGUGACGAAGCGUGAGUGACGGUAAUGGGUAAAGAAGCACCGGCUAACUACGUGCCAGCAGCCGCGGUGAUACGUAGGGUGCGAGCGUUGUCCGGAUUUAUUGGGCGUAAAGGGCUCGUAGGUGGUUGAUCGCGUCGGAAGUGUAAUCUUGGGGCUUAACCCUGAGCGUGCUUUCGAUACGGGUUGACUUGAGGAAGGUAGGGGAGAAUGGAAUUCCUGGUGGAGCGGUGGAAUGCGCAGAUAUCAGGAGGAACACCAGUGGCGAAGGCGGUUCUCUGGGCCUUUCCUGACGCUGAGGAGCGAAAGCGUGGGGAGCGAACAGGCUUAGAUACCCUGGUAGUCCACGCUGUAAACGGUGGGUACUAGGUGUGGGGUCCAUUCCACGGGUUCCGUGCCGUAGCUAACGCUUUAAGUACCCCGCCUGGGGAGUACGGCCGCAAGGCUAAAACUCAAAGGAAUUGACGGGGCCCCGCACAAGCGGCGGAGCAUGCGGAUUAAUUCGAUGCAACGCGUAGAACCUUACCUGGGUUUGACAUGGAUCGGGAGUGCUCAGAGAUGGGUGUGCCUCUUUUGGGGUCGGUUCACAGGUGGUGCAUGGCUGUCGUCAGCUCGUGUCGUGAGAUGUUGGGUUAAGUCCCGCAACGAGCGCAACCCUUGUUCACUGUUGCCAGCACGUUAUGGUGGGGACUCAGUGGAGACCGCCGGGGUCAACUCGGAGGAAGGUGGGGAUGACGUCAAGUCAUCAUGCCCCUUAUGUCCAGGGCUUCACGCAUGCUACAAUGGCUGGUACAGAGAGUGGCGAGCCUGUGAGGGUGAGCGAAUCUCGGAAAGCCGGUCUCAGUUCGGAUUGGGGUCUGCAACUCGACCUCAUGAAGUCGGAGUCGCUAGUAAUCGCAGAUCAGCAACGCUGCGGUGAAUACGUUCCCGGG